CGGGGUGAGUAACGCGUGGAGAACCUGCCUCACACUGGGGGAUAACAGUUAGAAAUGACUGCUAAUACCGCAUAAGCGCACAGUACCGCAUGGUACAGUGUGAAAAACUCCGGUGGUGUGAGAUGGAUCCGCGUCUGAUUAGCCAGUUGGCGGGGUAACGGCCCACCAAAGCGACGAUCAGUAGCCGACCUGAGAGGGUGACCGGCCACAUUGGGACUGAGACACGGCCCAA
This 232-nucleotide ribosomal RNA is filed under the name uncultured bacterium. Its description in RNAcentral is "partial 16S ribosomal RNA". It matches the Rfam family "Bacterial small subunit ribosomal RNA", at positions 104 to 334 of the family's 1533-position model. The record is from RNAcentral.